GUCAACCACCCCACGGCUAAAGCCGGGGACUUACGAUGAGUAAGCCCGGGGUUGACCAGCCCGCACGAAGGCGACGGCCUUCGCGCAGCCGUUAUCCCGGUCAUGGCACCCUGGGGUGCGAGGCCAGCUCCAGGCCCUGCCGUCCGGCAUUAAACAGGCAUACGGGGUUGAAGCCAGUGUGCCGGACAUCACAAGCCGAGGUAACCGGGCGAGGCCAACGUUAC
The sequence is a non-coding RNA, 224 nucleotides long. It matches the Rfam family "HNH endonuclease-associated RNA and ORF (HEARO) RNA". The record is from Rfam.